Molecule: ribosomal RNA, 379 nt
Filed under: uncultured organism
Description: partial 16S ribosomal RNA
Rfam family: Bacterial small subunit ribosomal RNA
Source: RNAcentral
GGACGGGGGCGAGCGUUAUUCGGAAUUAUUGGGCGUAAAGGGCAGGUAGGCGGCGUUUGCGUGGUCCUCUGUGAAAGCCCUCGGGCUCAACCCGGGGGAAUUGCAGGGGAAACUGCAGAGCUUGAGUCCCGGGAGAGGCUAGUGGAAUUCCCAGUGUAGCGGUGAAAUGCGUAGAUAUUGGGAGGAACACCAGUGGCGAAGGCGGCUAGCUGGACCGGUACUGACGCUGAUCUGCGAAAGCUAGGGGAGCAAACGGGAUUAGAUACCCCGGUAGUCCUGGCUGUAAACGCUGAGCACUUGGUGUGGCGGGUAUCGACCCCUGCCGUGCCGGAGCUAACGCAUUAAGUGCUCCGCCUGGGGAGUACGGUCGCAAAGGCUG